UACGGAGGAUGCAAGCGUUAUCCGGAUUUAUUGGGUUUAAAGGGUACGUAGGCGGAAAAUUAAGUCAGUAGUGAAAUCCUGCAGCUUAACUGUAGAACUGUUAUUGAUACUGGUUUUCUUGAAUUUAGUUGAGGUAGGCGGAAUGUGUAAUGUAGCGGUGAAAUGCUUAGAUAUUACACAGAACACCGAUUGCGAAGGCAGCUUACUAAGCUAUGAUUGACGCUGAGGUACGAAAGCGUGGGGAGCGAACAGGAUUAGAUACCCUGGUAGUCCACGCUGUAAACGAUGAUUACUCGUUGUUGGCAAUACAUCGUCAGCGACUGAGCGAAAGCAUUAAGUAAUCCACCUGGGGAGUACGCUCGCAAGAGUGAA
Molecule: ribosomal RNA, 372 nt
Filed under: uncultured bacterium
Lineage: Bacteria
Description: bacterial SSU rRNA
Rfam family: Bacterial small subunit ribosomal RNA
Source: RNAcentral